AUGGGGAGAGCUCGGCAGCUCCGGCGACUGGGGGGCGGUGGGUUGGGGAGAGGAGGAGGAGGAUGGAGAAAGAAGAAGGGGGGGAGGGAAGGAGGGAGGGCGAGGGAGGGGGGGGGGGGGGGGGGAGGGGAAAGAGGGGGAGAAAAAAAAAAAAAAAAAAAAGGAGAAAAGGGUAAAAAAAAAAUAGAAAAGGCAGAAGCAAAAGCUCCGCGCCGCCGCCGCGCUGCUGCGGGAGCGGCUGAUUCGCUGCCGGGCUCGGAGAUUGGCUCCGGGUUUCCAUGGCGGGGCUGCCACUCACGGCCCCGCGCUGCCAAUCACCGGCAGCCCGGCCCCGGCGCCUCCUUCCCCGGCACCGACGGCAACCGGGGCCCCGGGCCGCCCGGAGAGGGUCCCCGUCCCGCUGCCCUGCGCCCCGACCCGCUGCCCGGGGCACCAUCCCUCUCCCUGUACUCCCCAUCCCUCUCUCCAUGUCGCCAUCCCUCUCCCCGGGUCCCCAUCUCCAUCCCUCUGAUCCCAUCCCUCUUCCUACGUCCCCAUCCUUCUCCCUGUGUCCCCAUCCCUCUCCCCAUGUCCCCAUAUCUCUCCCCAUAUCCCCAUCCCUCUUCCCAUAUCCCCAUCCCUCUCCCCAUAUCCCCAUCCCUCUCCCUCUGUCCCUAUCCCUUUCCCAGUGUCCCCAUCCCUCUCCCCAUAUCCCCAUCCCUCUCCCUAUAUCCCCCUACUCUCUCCCCAUGCCCCCAUCCCUCUCCCCAUGUCCCCAUCGCUCUCCCCGUGUCCCCAUCCCUCUCCCCGUCCUCCCCGUCCCGCAGCCCCCAUCCCACACCGCCCUUCCCGUCCCGACCGGAGGGAGAGGCUCAAAAGGGGUCGACGAUGGGGACCCCCGGGGCUCGGGGCGCUGUGGGGUCGGACCGGGGGGGAAGGCAGGGCCGACGAACCGGACCCAAAUCGGCUUUUAGGGUCGCACCGGUGCGGCGGGGAGUGCCAGGGACAAUGGAUGCAGACGGAGGGCUCCGGGAAGAGCCGAGGUUUACGGGAAAACUCCCCCCCCGUCUCCCUAUAAGCGAGACGAGGAAUUCAUCGCCUCUCUGUUCUCCCACAUCUUUAUGA
Molecule: long non-coding RNA, 1104 nt
Filed under: Cairina moschata (Muscovy duck)
Lineage: Eukaryota; Metazoa; Chordata; Aves; Anseriformes; Anatidae
Description: domestica (muscovy Duck (domestic type)) lncRNA (ENSCMMG00000000406.1)
Source: RNAcentral